RNAcentral lists this ribosomal RNA (253 nucleotides) under uncultured bacterium. RNAcentral's name for it is "partial 16S ribosomal RNA". It matches the Rfam family "Bacterial small subunit ribosomal RNA", at positions 524 to 776 of the family's 1533-position model. The record is from RNAcentral.
UACGGGGGGGGCAAGCGUUGUUCGGAAUUACUGGGCGGAAAGGGCUCGUAGGCGGCCAACUAAGUCAAACGUUAAAUCCCUCGGCUUAACCGGGGAACUGCGCUUGAUACUGGAUGGCUUGAGAUUGGGAGAGAGAUGCGGAAUUCCAGGUGUAGCGGUGAAAUGCGUAGAUAUCUGGAGGAACACCGGUGGCGAAGGCGGCAUCCUGGACCAAUUCUGACACUGAGGAGCGAAAGCCAGGGGAGCAAACGGG